AUCUUAUAGGAGAUUUCUAUGCACCUGAGGUCUUCCUAAGGAUGUGUACAGCAUGCUCAUUUGUCUGGAACCUCUGAAUUCUUCAUCAACAAGACUGACAGAUAACAGUUCUGACCAGCUUGGCGAGUGCUAUGCAAAAGCUUGUGACUUGUGCUGCUGCUGGAACAUGGGAGGGCCUCUUAUCUGAACAAUUUCUAGUUGAGUUUGUAAUCCUUACUGCCUGAAAGGGACAACUGGUCAAGACAAGCUCCCUGAAGCCGGCUUUCACAGGAACACAUUUGAGUCACUGACACUUCAAAAUAUGAACAGACGGAACACCACAGUGUCAGGGUUGGCUGUGUUCAUCUGGGAAAGCCCUGCCUCUACAAACCUGACCUAACCUGACCUAACCAAACAUGAGAGUGGCUGAAUAACCUGCUAAUAAGUACAAAGAACUGUGUUUUUACAAAUACACAUUUACUUGACAAAUGAGCAAAGAUCCAGCGUAACAUCGAAGGAGUGCUUUCCACCAUUGCUGUAGAUAGAGCAGAUAUGUGCACCAUGUGAUAUUUCCCAAUGUAAAUGUUUUCCCAAAAUCGACAGAACUGCAUUCCCCUCCCCCCCCCCCCCCCCCCCCCCCCCCCCCCCCCCCCCCCCCAGUCUCUAUAGGAAGAGGCUGUGGCCUUGCAGUUCUCAUUGCUUAAGUGGGUGGUGUAGGUGAUCCUGCUCUGUUGUGGCUGUGGAGGAUGGAGCUCUGUGGUCAGUUCUUUCCAGUUGCAUUUUUUUGUUCUCUUUCUGGCAGCGCUGUGCUAUUCUGCCUUGUACAUGGCAGUCACUUAACAGUCUCUUUAUCUUCAAGUUAAUUAAGAUCAGGGCUGGCUGAGCACUUUUCAAUUUAAAAUAAAGAGCAAAGGCAAUAUUCUGUUUUCAAAACUAUGUCCCUAAUAUGUCCCUAAACUUCCAAGUUCUUAAUGGAAAAAAUAUGGGGUUUCAAAGACCUUUCCCCCUGUACUUUUUGUUCUUUCUCUGUUCUCUGUCCCUUGUUUCAAGCUUUUUUACUAGGAACAAAACUGGAAAAAAGGGUACAGAGAGAUAGGAAAUAUAAAUUUUUUUUUCAAGUCUCCCCAUGCAAGUACCUGACUUUCAAUCAGUGCAGGUUGGAACCAGCUGCAAAUUCAUUCCCGUGGCCCCAGUACGCCUGCACUGUGCAGCACCUCUGCCCUCUUCUUGAU
Molecule: long non-coding RNA, 1211 nt
Filed under: Gallus gallus (chicken)
Lineage: Eukaryota; Metazoa; Chordata; Aves; Galliformes; Phasianidae
Description: lncRNA (ENSGALG00010025174.1)
Source: RNAcentral